UUGCACGUUCUCCCUGUGACCGUGUGGGUUUCCUCCGGGGGCUCCGGUUUCUUCCCACGCCCCAAAGACAUGUUGGUUUGCAGGUUAAUUGGCUUCUAAAUGGCUCCU
This is a long non-coding RNA of Amblyraja radiata (thorny skate), 108 nucleotides long. RefSeq lists it as uncharacterized. NCBI's taxonomy places the organism in Eukaryota, Metazoa, Chordata, Chondrichthyes, Rajiformes, Rajidae. The record is from RefSeq and is a predicted model, not a curated record. The transcript has 3 exons.